AGUGAACGCUGGCGGUAGGCCUAACACAUGCAAGUCGAACGGCAGCACAGUAAGAGCUUGCUCUUACGGGUGGCGAGUGGCGGACGGGUGAGGAAUACAUCGGAAUCUACUUUUUCGUGGGGGAUAACGUAGGGAAACUUACGCUAAUACCGCAUACGACCUACGGGUGAAAGCAGGGGAUCUUCGGACCUUGCGCGAUUGAAUGAGCCGAUGUCGGAUUAGCUAGUUGGCGGGGUAAAGGCCCACCAAGGCGACGAUCCGUAGCUGGUCUGAGAGGAUGAUCAGCCACACUGGAACUGAGACACGGACCAGACUCCUACGGGAGGCAGCAGUGGGGAAUAUUGGACAAUGGGCGCAAGCCUGAUACAGCCAUACCGCGUGGGUGAAGAAGGCCUUCGGGUUGUAAAGACCUUUUGUUGGGAAAGAAAAGCAGCAGGUUAAUACCCCGCUGUUCUGACGGUACCCAAAGAAUAAGCACCGGCUAACUUCGUG
Molecule: ribosomal RNA, 492 nt
Filed under: uncultured bacterium
Lineage: Bacteria
Description: partial 16S ribosomal RNA
Rfam family: Bacterial small subunit ribosomal RNA
Source: RNAcentral